AGCAGCCGCGGUAAUUCCAGCUCCAAUAGCGUAUAUUAAAGUUGUUGCAGUUAAAAAGCUCGUAGUUGAAUUUCGGGGUUAGCAGGUCGGUCGUGCCAUCGGUAUGAACUGGUCUCGCUGAUCCCUCCCUCUUGACGAACUGUGAUACCAUUAAUUUGGUGUCGCAGGGAAUCAGGACUGUUACUUUGAAAAAAUUAGAGUGUUUAAAGCAGGCUCACGCUUGAAUACAUUAGCAUGGAAUAAUGAAAUAGGACGUUUGAUCCUAUUUUGUUGGCUUCUAGGAUUGACGUAAUGAUUAAUAGGGAUAGUUGGGGGCAUUAGUAUUCAAUUGUCAGAGGUGAAAUUCUUGGAUUUAUUGAAGACUAACUACUGCGAAAGCAUUUGCCAAGGAUGUUUUCAUUAAUCAAGAACGAAAGUUAGGGGAUCGAAGACGAUCAGAUACCGUCGUAGUCUUAACCAUAAACUAUGCCGACUAGGGAUCGGAUGAUGUUAAUUUUUAAUGUACUCAUUC
Molecule: unclassified non-coding RNA, 511 nt
Filed under: uncultured Glomus
Lineage: Eukaryota; Fungi; Glomeromycota; Glomeromycetes; Glomerales; Glomeraceae
Description: SSU rRNA
Rfam family: Eukaryotic small subunit ribosomal RNA
Source: RNAcentral